GGGGCGGUGGCGAAAUGGCAGACGCAGCGGACUUAAAAUCCGCUGGGGGCAACCCCGUGAGGGUUCAAAUCCCUCCCGCCCUA
This 83-nucleotide transfer RNA is filed under the name Anaerolineaceae bacterium 4572_32.1. Its description in RNAcentral is "tRNA-Leu". It matches the Rfam family "tRNA". From Rfam's summary of the family: Transfer RNA (tRNA) molecules are approximately 80 nucleotides in length. Their secondary structure includes four short double-helical elements and three loops (D, anti-codon, and T loops). Lineage: Bacteria; Bacillati; Chloroflexota; Anaerolineae; Anaerolineales; Anaerolineaceae. The record is from RNAcentral.